AGUGAACGCUGGCGGUAGGCCUAACACAUGCAAGUCGAACGGCAGCACAGUAAGAGCUUGCUCUUACGGGUGGCGAGUGGCGGACGGGUGAGGAAUACAUCGGAAUCUACUUUUUCGUGGGGGAUAACGUAGGGAAACUUACGCUAAUACCGCAUACGACCUACGGGUGAAAGGAGGGGAUCUUCGGACCUUGCGCGAUUGAAUGAGCCGAUGUCGGAUUAGCUAGUUGGCGGGGUAAAGGCCCACCAAGGCGACGAUCCGUAGCUGGUCUGAGAGGAUGAUCAGCCACACUGGAACUGAGACACGGUCCAGACUCCUACGGGAGGCAGCAGUGGGGAAUAUUGGACAAUGGGCGCAAGCCUGAUCCAGCCAUACCGCGUGGGUGAAGAAGGCCUUCGGGUUGUAAAGCCCUUUUGUUGGGAAAGAAAAGCAGUAGGUUAAUACCCCGCUGUUCUGACGGUACCCAAAGAAUAAGCACCGGCUAACUUCGUG
This 492-nucleotide ribosomal RNA is filed under the name uncultured bacterium. Its description in RNAcentral is "partial 16S ribosomal RNA". It matches the Rfam family "Bacterial small subunit ribosomal RNA", at positions 29 to 507 of the family's 1533-position model. The record is from RNAcentral.